This 433-nucleotide ribosomal RNA is filed under the name uncultured bacterium. RNAcentral describes it as "partial 16S ribosomal RNA". It matches the Rfam family "Bacterial small subunit ribosomal RNA", at positions 29 to 509 of the family's 1533-position model. The record is from RNAcentral.
AACGAACGCUGGCGGCAUGCCUAACACAUGCAAGUCGAACGAGACCUUCGGGUCUAGUGGCGCACGGGUGCGUAACGCGUGGGAACCUGCCCUUAGGUUCGGAAUAACUCCCCGAAAGGGGUGCUAAUACCGGAUAAUGCCUUCGGACCAAAGAUUUAUCGCCUUUGGAUGGGCCCGCGUUGGAUUAGCUAGUUGGUAGGGUAAAAGCCUACCAAGGCGACGAUCCAUAGCUGGUCUGAGAGGAUGAUCAGCCACACUGGGACUGAGACACGGCCCAGACCCCGACGGGAGGCAGAGGGGGGGAUUAGUGAAAAAGGGGCGAAGGCUUGAUCAAGCAGUCCCGGGGGAGUAAGGAGGCCUUUGGGGUUGAAAGUUUUUUUUCCCGGGGAUGAUAAGAACAUACCGGGGAAAAAAACCCCGGGCAACCCCGGCG